UCACCUUCACGUAUUUUUUUCUAAUCGCACCACAAAACAGUAAAAGGCCUUUCCGAUGUCGUCCCUCGAAGAGCUCCGUAAGCAGAUAGAGGCUAUUGCCUCCCAGAUCGCAGACAACAAAAAGACAAAGGGUACUGACAGUGAUGAGUACAAGUCGCUGGUGAAGCAGAUGGGUAUGCUGCGCAGCCAGCUUCCGCAGGAUGAGAAGAAGGCGAAAAAAGACAAGACGGUAGAGCCGUCGUACUUCGAGUCGCGCCUGGCAAUGGUCAAGGAGAUGGGUCUCCUCGGCGCUGCCUACCCCCACAAGUAUCAUCGUCAAUACACGAUUCCUCAGUAUCGCAGGAAGUACGCGCCUUUGCUCACAGAGCCCGACACAUCCCUCGACGAAACGGUGACAAUCGCGGGCCGCAUCAUCAAUAAGCGUAGCUCCGGCUCGAAGCUGCACUUCAUUACUAUCCAGGGCGAUAUGGAGACUGUGCAGGUGAUUUCUGCUCUUACUGACUACAUCGACCAGUCCAAGUUCGCCGAGAUCCACUCUAAGCUGAAGCGCGGGGAUAUCAUCGGCAUUGCAGGUAGGCCGUCCCUAUCCAAAAGCAGCGAGUUCUCCCUCAAGGCAACCGAGAUUACGCUUCUUUCAACUUGCUACCACAUGCUCCCCGACGACUACUUCGGCCUUUCUUCCUUUGAGCAGCGCUUCCGUCAACGCUACCUCGACUUUAUUGUCAACCGCGACAAUAUCAAGACCUUCAUUCAGCGUGCAAACAUCAUCAAGUACAUUCGCAAAUUUUUUGAUGAGCGGGACUUCGUGGAGGUCGAGACGCCAAUGCUCAACCAAAUCGCUGGUGGAGCCGCGGCGCGUCCUUUUGUGACGCACCACAACGACCUCAACCAGACCAUGUUCCUGCGUAUCGCGCCGGAGCUGUACCUGAAGGAGCUCGUCGUCGGUGGCAUGGAUCGCGUGUACGAAAUCGGCAAGCAAUUCCGUAACGAGGGCAUCGACCUCACCCACAACCCCGAAUUCACAAGCUGCGAGGCGUACUGGGCAUACAUGGACUACCACGAUUGGAUGACCGCAACGGAGGACCUUCUGUAUGGUCUGGCCAUGGAGCUUCACGGCUCGCCAAUCGUUCGCUAUGCGCCGAAGGACUCAGAGGGCAAGCCACUGCCAGAGGUUACUUUCAACUUCAACAAGCCGUUCAAGCGUCUGCACAUUAUUCCGGAGCUGGAAAAGCGCUUGCAGGUAUCCUUUGACAACGUUGACUUCGAGUCCGAUGCGGGCAUUCAGUUUCUGAUGGACCUGUGCGAAAAACAUAAGGCCGACUGCCCUCCACCGUACACGGCGCCUCGCCUUCUCGAUGCCCUGAUCGCUGAGUUCCUUGAGCCCGAGUGCCACGACCCCUGCUUCAUCUGCGAUCACCCUCGCGUGAUGUCGCCUCUCGCCAAGUGGCACCGCAACGACCCCCGCCUGACGGAGCGCUUUGAGCUGUUCGUCAACAAGAAGGAGCUUGCUAAUGCGUACACCGAGCUGAACAACCCUAUCGUCCAACGUGAGGAGUUCGUUAAACAGCUGCGGAACCGCGACAAGGGCGAUGACGAAUCUAUGGAGAUCGAUGAGGGCUUCGUCGCAGCAUUGGAGCACGCGCUGCCGCCCACUGGUGGAUGGGGUCUUGGCAUCGACCGCCUUGUGAUGUUCCUCACAAGUCAGUCCAACAUCAAGGAAGUGCUUCUGUUCCCUGCCAUGAAGCCUGAAGGCAAGAACGCGAUUAGCUACCCUCCGGGCACGAUGCUCAAUGGUCAGGGUGUUCCCCUGCUGUAGUAGUACUCUAACGUUUUCCUUUUGUUUUUUUUUUUCGCCCUUUUUUAUGACUGUGAUUCUCUUCGUCGAAGCAGCAGCGAUGAAAGUACGAGGUGGCUAUAGUGGUACAUGUCUGUCAGUUUCGCCUCGCUUCUCUAAUGGCGGUGAUGUCCUCUGGCGUACAUCAGAAACGAAAAGAGAUAAAUACAACGAAAAAAGACACGCUGCUGUCAAAACCCCAGCACAGCGCUCAUUCCUUGAGUCCGGCUGGAACACGGCGAGCGACGUCAAGUGUUGUUCGAUUCGAAGGUUUCCCUACCUCCCUCUCCCUCUGUCUUCGAGCCCUUUUCGUUUCCCUCCUCCCUGAAAACACACAAAGAAGGGGGAGGGAGUGGAGGGAGACCUGUGCGUAAAAGGAAGAACGUGGACGGUGCGACGCAACGAAAAGGACGCAGCGUUUUUUUUUUUUCGCUGAUAAUUCGAAGGCAGUGGGAGACCUGCGCGGGGCGAAACGCGCUGGGUGUACUGACGCAAUUCGUGGCGUCCACAUGCGGUGUGCUGUCGUCUUCGAUGGCGUGGCAGCUAUAAGCAGCCGCCAAAAC
Molecule: unclassified non-coding RNA, 2397 nt
Filed under: Leishmania donovani
Lineage: Eukaryota; Euglenozoa; Kinetoplastea; Trypanosomatida; Trypanosomatidae
Description: gene:LdHU3.15.0360(CDS-product:lysyl-tRNA_synthet ase_putative)
Source: RNAcentral